RNAcentral lists this microRNA precursor (262 nucleotides) under Glycine max (soybean). Its description in RNAcentral is "miR4366 stem-loop (gma-MIR4366)". Lineage: Eukaryota; Viridiplantae; Streptophyta; Magnoliopsida; Fabales; Fabaceae. The record is from miRBase by way of RNAcentral.
AAGAGAUGUGAAAACACCUUAGAAGUUGAGCUAGAUAGAAAAAGAAAGGCUCUUGAAACAAGAUCCAAAUUCCUCAAAGCAUGCAAACCAACCAACAAAUCUCUACUUAGUAGGGAGUCCCCUUUCAAAAAAUUGGAGAAGGUAAAUCCCUACUUAGUAGAGAUUUGUUGGUUGGUUUGCAUGCUUUGGGGAAUUUGGAUCUUGUUUCAACAGCCUUUCCUUUUAUAUCUAACUCAACUUCUAAGGUGUUUUCACAUCUCUU